GAUGAACGCUGGCGGCGUGCCUAAUACAUGCAAGUCGAGCGAACAGACGAGGAGCUUGCUCCUCUGACGUUAGCGGCGGACGGGUGAGUAACACGUGGAUAACCUACCUAUAAGACUGGGAUAACUUCGGGAAACCGGAGCUAAUACCGGAUAACAUGUUGAACCGCAUGGUUUAACAGUGAAAGACGGUCUUGCUGUCACUUAUAGAUGGAUCCGCGCCGCAUUAGCUAGUUGGUAAGGUAACGGCUUACCAAGGCAACGAUGCGUAGCCGACCUGAGAGGGUGAUCGGCCACACUGGAACUGAGACACGGUCCAGACUCCUACGGGAGGCAGCAGUAGGGAAUCUUCCGCAAUGGGCGAAAGCCUGACGGAGCAACGCCGCGUGAGUGAAGAAGGUCUUCGGAUCGUAAAACUCUGUUAUUAGGGAAGAACAAAUGUGUAAGUAACUAUACACGUCUUGACGGUACCUAAUCAGAAAGCCACGGCUAACUACGUG
This 497-nucleotide ribosomal RNA is filed under the name uncultured bacterium. Its description in RNAcentral is "partial 16S ribosomal RNA". It matches the Rfam family "Bacterial small subunit ribosomal RNA", at positions 28 to 507 of the family's 1533-position model. The record is from RNAcentral.